Molecule: transfer RNA, 88 nt
Filed under: Prevotella melaninogenica
Lineage: Bacteria; Pseudomonadati; Bacteroidota; Bacteroidia; Bacteroidales; Prevotellaceae
Also listed under: 1 other name
Description: tRNA-Ser
Rfam family: tRNA
About the family: Transfer RNA (tRNA) molecules are approximately 80 nucleotides in length. Their secondary structure includes four short double-helical elements and three loops (D, anti-codon, and T loops).
Source: RNAcentral
GGAAAGAUGCUCGAGUGGUUGAAGAGGCACGCCUGGAAAGCGUGUAUACCCCUAAAGGGUAUCGGGGGUUCGAAUCCCUCUCUUUCCG